Long non-coding RNA from Anolis carolinensis (green anole), 1129 nucleotides. RefSeq lists it as uncharacterized. The record is from RefSeq and is a predicted model, not a curated record. NCBI's taxonomy places the organism in Eukaryota, Metazoa, Chordata, Lepidosauria, Squamata, Anolidae. The transcript has 2 exons.
CUCACCCCGCGCUCUCGCAGCUGGACGGCGCUCUCCUCUUCCUCUUCCUCCUCCUCCUCCCUCUUCAUCUUCUUUAGAGAAACCGAGGGGAGAGGAGCGAGGGAGGAGGAAGAAGGGAAGGAGGAAGGAGAAAGGAAAGAGAGGAAGAGGAGGAGGAAGAAGGAAAGGGAAAGGAGGAGGAAGGAGAUGUGAAGGAAGGGAAAAGGAAGAGGAGGAGGAAGAAGGACAACAACCCGCCGGGGCUGCCAGGACCCACGGGAGACCGCGCUCGAGGGGCACACGAGGGUGGACUGGGGACAAUGGGAGCUGCUGGCCAACCGCCCUUGUGGCUCGGAGGCCUUUCAGAGCCCGGCCGGCAUCCCUCCACUAGCCUUGCCUCUCAGCACAACAGAACGAACAGAACCAAGGCAGCCUUGCAGAGGCCACGGUGUCCCAACGCCCACCAGCUGCAUUCAUGACGUCCACGCAGGAGGAAUGUGCCGCAGGAGUGGGAGUCCACGCCAAAGGGCCGGGCCGGACGGAGGGCAGCAGGCCGUCCCCAGGCUCAGCCCCCUCCCCCUUCUCUUCCCAGCGAGCGGAGCCGGGCACACGGAGGGGCUCCUGCACUUUGUGGACUGUAUAGAAUAGCUCGGGUACCCGGCGAUGCCCUGAUUGUUGGAGCAAGGCAUUGUUUAUAAUAAUAAUAAUUUUAUUCUUAUAUCCCGCCCCAUCUCCCCAGUCAACAACAAUAAGAUAACACCAUAAAAGAGAUUAAAAACAAUGAAAACCAGUCAUAAAAAUUCACAUAUAAGGACAAAAGAUAAAAUCUAAAUAAAAUCAGGAGAAACCUGGCCAAAGUGCUAAUUUCGUCUGUUUGUUUUGGGGUGUGAGGUCCUAUGAGUUUGGUCGUAUGUUACACUGGUUUUUUUUAAAUAAAAGGAUCUUUUUUAGGAAUGCUCCCAUUAGAAAAUGCAUUAUCUGCUUGGAUUUUAAUGUAUUUGUCCAUUAUUUUAUUUUGUGUAUUGUUGGAAUGUUUUAAGUUUAUGUUAAAUAUGUUGUUGUUGUUCGGGCUUGUCCCUGUUGUGAGCCGCCCCGAGUCCCUUCGGGGAGAUGGGGCAGGAUAUAAAAAUAAAGUUUAUUAUUAUUAUUA